GCCCGCGUAGCCCAAUUGGCAGAGGCGCCCGGUUCAGGGCCGGGAGGUUGGGGGUUCGAAUCCCUCGGCGGGUAC
This 75-nucleotide transfer RNA is filed under the name Asanoa iriomotensis. Its description in RNAcentral is "tRNA-Leu". It matches the Rfam family "tRNA". From Rfam's summary of the family: Transfer RNA (tRNA) molecules are approximately 80 nucleotides in length. Their secondary structure includes four short double-helical elements and three loops (D, anti-codon, and T loops). Further hydrogen bonds mediate the characteristic L-shaped molecular structure. tRNAs have two regions of fundamental functional importance: the anti-codon, which is responsible for specific mRNA codon recognition, and the 3' end, to which the tRNAs corresponding amino acid is attached (by aminoacyl-tRNA synthetases). tRNAs cope with the degeneracy of the genetic code in two manners: having more than one tRNA (with a specific anti-codon) for a particular amino acid; and 'wobble' base-pairing, i.e. permitting non-standard base-pairing at the 3rd anti-codon position. Lineage: Bacteria; Bacillati; Actinomycetota; Actinomycetes; Micromonosporales; Micromonosporaceae. The record is from RNAcentral.